CUUUGUCUAUGAGUGAAAGUAUUAAUUUUCGAAUGGUUUUGGAUGGAAACGUAAUGUUCAUUCCUUCAUGACAGUGUAUCAAAUCAGGAGAAUUAAGCGAAAUUUUCCUUAAUAAAAUUAUAUUUAAUUUAUAAAAAUUAUAGAAAUCAUUAAUAUAAGAUUAAUAUUAAGAUUAUCAAUGCGAUAAAAAUUUAUUUUCAACUGUGUUAGUAAUUUUAUAUACAUAUAUAUAAUAAAAUCUGAAACGCCACUGCACGUUAAUUUUAUCAUGAAUACAUAAUUAAUGUUUGUUCAUGAAAUGCGUAUUAAACGAUACGUCAGUACAAGUGUUUAAUUAUAAAUUUUACUUGCAAUUGAAGUUUACUUUUAAAUUAAGAUAACCAUUGUGACAAAGUAUUGUUUGUACACCCAAACAUAAAAGCGAUAAUCAAUAAAAAGAUGAUUAAGUUUUUGUUAACUUUUAGCGUUGGAGUUUAUGCUGGUAUAUACAUAAGUCAGAAUUAUGAGGUACCUCGAGUAGAUGAACCAGCUAAAAUAAUAGAACGAAUAAAGAAAUUUGCAGAUGAAUACAAAAAGAAA
This is a non-coding RNA of Osmia lignaria (orchard mason bee), 579 nucleotides long. Lineage: Eukaryota; Metazoa; Arthropoda; Insecta; Hymenoptera; Megachilidae. The record is from RefSeq and is a predicted model, not a curated record.